AAACACUUGAAGUCAGUCGCAUUAUUCAGAACUCAGCCUGGCUUCUGCCUGGUGUAUUUUCUGUUUGAUGGGCCAGCAUCAAUUUUGACCAUUGGAAAAAGUUCAGGGGAAUGUGGCACCUUCGGGUGUGUUAUAGCCUCUGGUCACACACAAUGGUUGGGAUUGAGGAUCUCAGCAUGCCUUUUGGCCGGGGUUCGCCCACGUUCAUGCUUAGGAUGCUGGCGUAAUGGCUUUAAAUGA
This 240-nucleotide ribosomal RNA is filed under the name Hyphoderma sp. Its description in RNAcentral is "partial large subunit ribosomal RNA". The record is from RNAcentral. Lineage: Eukaryota; Fungi; Basidiomycota; Agaricomycetes; Polyporales; Hyphodermataceae.